RNAcentral lists this long non-coding RNA (1945 nucleotides) under Homo sapiens (human). RNAcentral describes it as "HSALNT0128616". The record is from RNAcentral. Lineage: Eukaryota; Metazoa; Chordata; Mammalia; Primates; Hominidae.
CGACAACCCAGCGGGAAGUGCUCUAGCGGGGAUUCUGGGCUUGUGAGAGUCCCUGUUUACCCCCCUUUCUUCCUUUUCAUCCAUUAAAACCCUACUUUACUCACCAUUCAAACUGUUUGUGAGCCUAAAUUUUCAUAGCCGUAGGACGGACAAGGACCCCAUCGCUAGCUGAACUAAGGAAAAGUCCUGAAACAUUUUUGGCCUGCAACGUGGGGACUCAAGAAGCAAGACAUGGAUGAAGGUGGAAGCCAUCAUUCUCAGCAAACUAACACAGGAACAGAAAACCAAACACUGCAUGUUCUCACUCAUAAGUGGGAGUUGAACAGCAAGAACACAUGGACACAGCAAGGGGAACAUCACACACCCGGGCCUGUUGGGGAGUCAGGGGCAAAAGGAAGGAGGGCAUUAGGACAAAUACCUAAUGAAUGUGGGGCUUAAAACCUAGAUAACGGUUUCAUAGGUGCAGCAAACCACAAUGGUACAUGUAUACCUAUGUAACAAACCUACACAUUCUGCACAUGUAUCCUGGAACUAAAGUAAAAUUAAAAAUUUUUAAAAAAAAGUCAACAAGAAAAAAAAAAGCUGUAAUUAAUUUGGCCAAAAGAAAGACAAUUGCUUGGAUCUGAUGUUUUUAAAGGGAAGAUAAAAUCUAUGGUACCUUUCAGUUCAUGUGACUUUAAUCUUUAAGAAAUAAAAACACCCCUAAGGACUAUUAGUAAAAUGCAGGUCAGAUGCAAAGUUUUCUAAGUGUUGUGAGUUUACAAACUGCUUUUUGGGUUUUGAGAACUAUUUGACUUGCUGGCUUCACAAUUGGUAAGGCCUGGGGACUAUGGAACUAACUAUGCCCCUUAUUAUGCUAUAGUCAAACCUUGGUUGCAGUUAGCACACAAUUAAAGCAACUUAACAAGUUUCACCUUAAAGAUAACAAUUGCUGGGGUUACCAUUAUAACAGGUAAUUGAGACUACUCAAAAUAGAUUUACAUGCAAGGGGUAUAAGAACAGUAAAAUGUGCUUUUUCUUUGUAAAAUGUUAUAAGAAGGCAUGGAAAUAUAAAUUUUUGCCUAGGGUUAAAGGAUUGUUUUAAAUUAGAUAAGAGAAAGCCGAAGGUUCAAACAAGUGGUAGAAGAACUGGGGAAAUUAAUCUUGCAGAAGAGGUUCUCUGGGUGAACAUAUUGACUAACUUCAAAAAAGGGUAUUAUAUGGUUUUUCUGUAAAUUGAACAUUAAAAUAUAAGAACAACAAGGUAUUCUUAAAAUGCUAAUCUGCUCCUUAACAAAAUUCAAAAGGGUUAUAAAAGGUUUUUGCUUCUUUAAAAUUUCUGAGUCAUUUUGGCAAAAUAAAUAAUUUAUGGUAAUCUGGAAUUCUAUUUCAUAAUAUUAAGUGCUUUAAACAUAUUUAACAGCUUUCCCAAAAUCAAACUUCAGUUUCAAAAUUGUCUUCCCUGGCACCUGGUUUUUUGAAUACUUCAGAGGGCCCCUGAAGUGUCUAGAAAAGAGAGGUAAAAAGGAUUAUUUGACAUGUUUAGGUAUAUGAGAUUGCCAAAAUGAUGCUCAAUCUUCUUUAGGUUAUAUCUUGGUGGAUAAUACUAAUAUAUGUUCCAAAAUUGUAUGGGAUUUCUAAAAUUCUAAGGUCUAAGUAUAUGCCAUAAAUCAUAAUUAAGGUUGUUAUGUUAAGUUAUUGUAAAACAGAGAUAACAAAACUUCUUUGUCAAUUGUGUGUCUAACUGUAACUACCCUGGACAUUUUGUUAUUCACAGACGAUUGUUGUCUUGUUUUAAUCCUUUCAAAAGAUGGUUUAUAAUAAGCUAUACAACUUUAACAGGUACUUUCAAAUACAGGCUUCUGAUAACUUUAGAGACUGUAACAUUGGAAUAAAGGAAAAAGUACAGGACUCAUAAAGAGCUGAAAUGUUCAUGAAUGUCAAGCAAAACAAGAGUUAAGUAAAU